This 497-nucleotide ribosomal RNA is filed under the name uncultured bacterium. RNAcentral's name for it is "partial 16S ribosomal RNA". It matches the Rfam family "Bacterial small subunit ribosomal RNA", at positions 28 to 507 of the family's 1533-position model. The record is from RNAcentral.
GAUGAACGCUGGCGGCGUGCCUAAUACAUGCAAGUCGAGCGAACGGACGAGAAGCUUGCUUCUCUGAUGUUAGCGGCGGACGGGUGAGUAACACGUGGAUAACCUACCUAUAAGACUGGGAUAACUUCGGGAAACCGGAGCUAAUACCGGAUGAUAUUUUGAACCGCAUGGUUCAAAAGUGAAAGACGGUCUUGCUGUCACUUAUAGAUGGAUCCGCGCUGCAUUAGCUAGUUGGUAAGGUAACGGCUUACCAAGGCAACGAUGCAUAGCCGACCUGAGAGGGUGAUCGGCCACACUGGAACUGAGACACGGUCCAGACUCCUACGGGAGGCAGCAGUAGGGAAUCUUCGGCAAUGGGCGAAAGCCUGACGGAGCAACGCCGCGUGAGUGAUGAAGGUCUUCGGGUCGUAAAGCUCUGUUGUUGGGGAAGAAAAUAAGCGUGAGUAUCUGUGGACGUCUUGACGGUACCCAAUCAGAAAGCAACGGCUAACUACGUG